UACGUAGGGUGCAAGCGUUGUCCGGAAUUAUUGGGCGUAAAGAGCUCGUAGGCGGUCUGUCGCGUCGGCUGUGAAAUCCCGAGGCUCAACCUCGGGUCUGCAGUCGAUACGGGCAAACUAGAGUAUUGCAGGGGAGACUGGAAUUCCUGGUGUAGCGGUGAAAUGCGCAGAUAUCAGGAGGAACACCGGUGGCGAAGGCGGAUCUCUGGGCCAUUACUGACGCUGAGGAGCGAAAGCGUGGGGAGCGAACAGG
Molecule: ribosomal RNA, 253 nt
Filed under: uncultured bacterium
Lineage: Bacteria
Description: partial 16S ribosomal RNA
Rfam family: Bacterial small subunit ribosomal RNA
Source: RNAcentral